This 61-nucleotide transfer RNA is filed under the name Canis lupus familiaris (dog). RNAcentral's name for it is "tRNA-Leu". It matches the Rfam family "tRNA", at positions 1 to 61 of the family's 71-position model. From Rfam's summary of the family: Transfer RNA (tRNA) molecules are approximately 80 nucleotides in length. Their secondary structure includes four short double-helical elements and three loops (D, anti-codon, and T loops). The record is from RNAcentral. Lineage: Eukaryota; Metazoa; Chordata; Mammalia; Carnivora; Canidae.
AACUUUUAUAGGAUAGAAGUAAUCCGUUGGUCUUAGGAACCAAAAAAUUGGUGCAACUCCA